This 49-nucleotide ribosomal RNA is filed under the name uncultured Russula. RNAcentral's name for it is "partial 28S ribsomal RNA". The record is from RNAcentral. Lineage: Eukaryota; Fungi; Basidiomycota; Agaricomycetes; Russulales; Russulaceae.
GACCUCAAAUCGGGUGAGACUACCCGCUGAACUUAAGCAUAUCAAUAAG